Molecule: ribosomal RNA, 261 nt
Filed under: uncultured archaeon
Lineage: Archaea
Description: partial 16S ribosomal RNA
Rfam family: Archaeal small subunit ribosomal RNA
Source: RNAcentral
AGGGUGUAAACGCUGCAGACUUGGUGUUGGAAGCCCUUUGGGGGCAUUCAGUGCCGGAGAGAAGUUGUUAAGUCUGCUACUUGGGGAGUACGUCCGCAAGGAUGAAACUUAAAGGAAUUGGCGGGGGAGCACCGCAACGGGAGGAGCGUGCGGUUUAAUUGGAUUCAACACCGUAAACUCACCAGGGAAGACUGUUACAUGAAGGCCGAGAUGAAGACUCUGCUAGAUUUUUCAGAGAGGAGGUGCAUGGCGUCAGUGACU